AAGUGAAAUCAUAGAAGAGUAAAACUGACUGCCAGGAAAUUACAGCUGCCUCAGGUCUCCAGCAGAAGAUGUAGGCCCAGAUCAAAGGUGUGGGCCACCACACCUUUAAUCUCAGGUGACCUUGAACUCGGAGAUCUCCCUUUCUUAAUUUUCAGGAAUUCAUAGCCACCAUGGCUCAAGAUCUCCAUACCAAGAUCCAGAAAUAAAGGCACAGAAUGUCAUUUAUAAAUCAAAGAAUAAAAUCUUGCUACAAAUGGCACAAUGUAAAUACAUUUCUCAAUAGGAGGUAUCUUCACAAGUUCAAGGCCCAUGUCAGUUCUCAUAACAGACACAGGAGGAAGCAUAAGAUAAACAGCGCUGUAAGUGCUCAGAUAGUAAAUAAAAGUAUAUAC
This 392-nucleotide long non-coding RNA is filed under the name Mus caroli (Ryukyu mouse). RNAcentral's name for it is "lncRNA (MGP_CAROLIEiJ_G0005153.1)". Lineage: Eukaryota; Metazoa; Chordata; Mammalia; Rodentia; Muridae. The record is from RNAcentral.